GACGAACGCUGGCGGCGUGCCUAAUACAUGCAAGUCGAGCGAAAAGACGAGGAGCUUGCUCCUCUGACGUUAGCGGAGGACGGGUGAGUAACACGUGGAUAAUCUACCUAUAAUACUGGGAUAACUUCGGGAAACCGGCGCUAAUACCGGAUAAUAUAUUGAAGCGCAGGGUGCAAUGGUGAAAGACGGCUUUGGUGUCACUUAUAGCUGCAUCUGCGCCGCAUUAGCUAGUUGGUAAGGUAAAGGCUUACCAAGGGAACGAUGCGUAGCCGACCUGCGAGAGUGGUAGCCGACCCUGGAGGUGGGACGCGGACAUGGCUCCUGCGAGACGCAGCAGUAUGGUAUCGUCCGCAGUAGUCGGAAGCCUUACGCAGCGGCGCGACGUGAGAUACAAAGGUGUUCGGAUCGUAAAACUCUGUUAUUGGGUAUGAACAAAUUUGUAAGUAACUAUGCACGUCUUGACGGUACUUAAUCAGAAAGCCACGGCUAACUACGUG
Molecule: ribosomal RNA, 497 nt
Filed under: uncultured bacterium
Lineage: Bacteria
Description: partial 16S ribosomal RNA
Rfam family: Bacterial small subunit ribosomal RNA
Source: RNAcentral